AGUCCAGAUUCUGCAGGCAAACUUUAUCAGUUCAAAUCCUGAACUAUCACUUACUGGUUUUGUGCCUUUGUCUUGGUUCUUCAUCUGUAAAAUGGGGCACAUUAAUAGUACCAACCUUAUAAGGUUGUCAGGUAGUUUAAAUUAGUCACUACAGGUGAGAAAGGUGCUGAAUAUGUUGUAGCAAUAAUUGUUAGUAAUUAUGAGAUGUCCCAGGAUCUCCAUUGCCCAUCUCUGUCAAAUAUUUAAUCAACAUUUUAAAAUAGAUAAAUUUAUUUUGCUUGGAACACUGAAUAUAUUUUAGGUUUAGUAUCUAUGCUGACCAAUUAUCUAGGAUUAACCCAGAAGCUUCACCUUGCCAAGGUGAGCUUAUUGUUUUAAAAGGAAGAGAGAAUAAUUCAAAUUUUAUAAUAGGUGCUAAAACUAUACAUAACGUGACACAAUCUUUGCACCACAACACUUGCCCAAUAUAGACAUAUUUUUGGCCUUUUUAGGGCCACAACCAUGGCAUAUGGAAAUUCCCAGACUAGCGGUCAAACCAGAGCUGCAGCUUCCAGCCUAUGCCACAGCCACAGCAAUGCUAGAUCUGAGCCACGUUUGCAGCCUAACUACAGCUCACAGUAACACUGGAUCCUUUAACCCACUGAGCAAGGCCAGGGAUUGAACCCAUAUCUUCAUGGAUACUAGAUGGGUUUGUAAUCUGCUGAGCCACAAUGGGAACUCCCAAUUUUCUUUUUUUAAACAUUAUUAUACCAUGAUCACACAGGGGCUGAGUAAGGGUAUAUUUCACCUGACGCUUUCACAGGGCCCGUGCACACUGAACUUGAAUCUCACAUAUAUAACUUUAUGUAAACAGACACCGGAAGACCUGCAUUUAAAUAAAUAAUAAUAACAACAAUAUAGAAAGAAGUAGUACAGAGCUAGACAUUCUGAGUCAAUGAACAUUUACAAAAUAUUUAUAGUAGGGACUGUAUACACAGAAGCAAAAAAAGCUGAAAGCACAAUUUAAUACAUUGGUUGUCUUCAGUAUAUAAACAUUUGGUGUGUGAAAUAUUUAACAGUGAUUUUUUUAAUUGAAGAAUUUUCAAUUAUGGAACAUAAUUCUGAAUGAAUUUGAAUUUGAAUCAAAUAUUUGUAGAUUCCGAAAGCAUCCCUGUAUAACUGUAGAAGUCCAAUGGUCAGAGUUUAAAAAUCACUUAAAUAAUUUUAAGUCUCUUCUAAAAUUUGGAAUUUUGGGUCAUCUGAGUUGGUUCAUGAGAUCUUACCCAACCCUUCCUAUUUUGGUCAUUCAUCCAGUUACACUGGCUCUUUAUUCUCUAUCAGAUGAGUCUAUCUCAAAAAUAGCAAAAGAUCUUACUUAAAACAUGCCAUAGGAGAUAGUUCCAUAGCAAGGGACUUAAGUUAAUUAGGAUGCCUUUGCCAACAAAUCAUUGUCAACUCAAUUCAAAAUGGCUUAAACGAUGAAGGCAUUUGCUAUCUCAUGAAACAGGGUUUAAAAGGAGCAUAGCUCCUGGGUUAAUGCAAUAUUUCAACAACUGCAUCAAAGACCGAGGGUUUUUCUGUGCUCUUUGCUUAGCCGUCUUCACCCUGUCAGCCAUUUUCCCUCCUGGUCCUAAGGUGGCUGCCACAGCUCCAAGGAUCAUAUCUGUGUGCAACCAUGUUCAGAGGUAGAAAAGAGAUCGCUCUACUCUUUGUAGUUCUUUUACAAAGCUAAGACUUUCCCAGAAGAGUUACCCUCCAAUCUCAUGAACCAGAGUUGAGGUUACAUGUUCCGUUUUAAGCCACUCUCUAGCAAGGGGAAUAAAAUUACCAUGAUUGGUAAGAUUAUCAAGAUUAAUAUGCUGGGCUUGGGAAUAGAGCCGAGUUCAGGAAUGUCCAUGACCAAACAAAGGAAAAACAUACAAACUGGGAUUCUGAGUGGGAAAGCAAGACUCUGUUAAAAAGCCUGAAGGAUAGCAUUCUGAUUGUGUCUACACAGAGCCAAAACAUUCCAGUGAAAGUGAAGAUUCAAUUGAUUUGAAUGUUUUCUAUUGCAUAAUGCCAAACAUUUAGAGUAGUUAUAAAGGGCUUAGUUUGGAGGAUGUUAUACUUGCACUGGAGUGGAUAGGGGGAGGUGUUGGAUGCAAAAGAAGUGUUUGGUGGUGCAGAUUUUCUUUUUAUGACGUGCUAUUUAGUUUUGGGUAUUGUGAACACUUUUGUGAAUCUGCUCAAACUAUGACCCCUCCUCCCUGAAAAAAAGAGCGUAUAUGUACUCUUAUCCAAAUUCUGCAAAUAAUUUUAGGAGAUUCACUGAUGCUUUGUCACUCAUUCAUGGGCUCUAAGUUAUAGCCUUAUGAUACCCUUGGGUAUACUGGUGGCGGAAAAAAAGCUUACAUGUGACGAAAUAAGCAGAACAAAAUAGCAAAGUCAGAAAGUCUGAUGGACAUUUGUCAGCUGUAUGGCCUUAUUUGAAUCUUUGUUAAGACCUCAAUUUUACCUCUGUAAAAUGGAGCUAGUAGAGUUAUUUCAAGAACCAAGUAGACAACGUAUAAGAUUGUUUAAAAUUAUGUAGCCUUUUACAAAUGUUGGCUUAAAAACCAAAAUGCUGGAGUUCCUGCUGUGGCUCAGCAGUUAUGAAUCUGACUAGUAUCCAUGAGGAUCUGAGUUUGAUCCCUGUCCUCACUCAGUGGGUUAAGGAUCUGGUGGUGCUGUGGCUAUGGCAUAGGCCUGUAGCUACAGCUCUGAUUUGACGCCUAGGCUGGGAACUUCCAUAUGCUGUGGAGGCGGCCUUUAAAAGACAAAAAACAAACAAACAAAAAAAUCCCCCCAAACCUGAAAUGCCAAUAAAUCUAAACAGCAUGGUGGCUGGACCUUCCCAGCUGAGUUUUCUGAAUACAAAAUGGUACACCCUAUGAGGACAUGCCUCAGGAAGGCUUUGGGGUUUCAUGGAGCAGAAGAUUCCUUUUCUGCAAGCAAAUGUCAUCCUCAAACACAUUGAGCCCUGCACCUUUUGCAGAAGCUGGUUUGAAAACGGGUACCAACUGAAACAUCUCUAACCCACCAACAAGCACUACACCCAGUAGGUAGAGUCAGGACAUGCCAAUGUGGCUAGAAGACCAGGGAUGGAGACUGGAAGAGUCUUCCAGAUGGCCUGCCUCUGCCUAUCCCAGGCCAGCCCCCACCCCUGGGACUGUCCCCAGACCUUGAUCAGUCCCUUCUGUAGAUCCACUCCAGGUCCGUCAGCCCCUUCAAGGCAGGGAUGCCAACUCCGGUUCCCUCACCGUGGUACCCAUCUCUUCCUCUUCACCAUGUGUGCCUUCCCAUCCUGACUUUCUCACAGUGCAAGAGGCCCAGCUUCCUCUCAUUUCUCAAUUUCCAUAGCUUCUUUCCUUUCCAUGCCCUACUGCCUGAGCAGCCAUCUCUUCAUGACUGAAGAGCAGAAUGCCCACUAGAGUUUCCCCAGGGAUCAAUCAACCAAGAGUUACAGAGAGUGGCAGACCGGCACGGAGUUCUAGGAUGAACAGACCUCCGCUCCUGUCUCCACAGAGAACACAAUCCCAUUGGGGUGCAGAUGCCUCCCUGUCUCUCCCAGUGCAAGCAGACAGCUGAUGGAGGAACUGGGAGGUUUUGCUGGGUGAUAGAGUUCAUCAGGAUGUCACUUACACACACCAAUGGUAAAGCAACAAAAAGUUGUCAAUGAGGCAAAGGAAGUCUCAGACAUGCUCAGACUACAAUGAUUCAGCCAGAGUCCAGCCAUCCCCUGAAGCCUGUAUUCCUCUGACAUGUGCUGGACCCAUGCUUCCUGCUUUCUUUCAACUGCUUCAAUUGAUGGGGUAACUGUUUAUACCUGGGAAGUUCAAGGACUGAGAAGGGCAGUUUCUCUACAUUCCAUAUUUCCAUGAUUUAACUCUAUGGUUGUGGGGAGGGGUGGGGAGAGAAGGAAGGUCUAGUUCCCAGUCUCAUCCAUAGCCAUUAUACCUCAACCCAGUACACAUCAAUACAAGAUCUUAAAUCAGCAGCACCUCCUAAUUAAAGAUUUAUCAUUAUCCUAUAAACUCCCAGGCCCCUGUCACAUGCACCAGCAGCAGAAUUUGUGGAAACUGAUGCCAAGAGAGCUCUCAGGUUUCCCACCCAUCCAGAGCAGGGCUGAUGUCUGAGAGAAGUUUGAGGGAGAAGGUGGACCAGCCAGACCAUGCACAGCACAGGGAGCAGGGUGGCUGGUAGGUGGGUUCACUCCUGGCUUCAGUAUCAAUUCAGACAAGCUGUCAGGAAUUCUCUUGUGGCUCAAGGAUCUGGUGUUGCCACUCACCAAAAUUUUGCUUGAGUUUCCAGAAUCAAAACGCACACCAUUGACCAAGGGGGCAGCAUGGUGUAGGGUUAAUUAGCAUCCUUAACUGUGACUCUGGCAAGUCAGACUCUCUGACCUCCUAGAUCCUCACUGGCAAGAAGAGGAGCUUGGACAAGAAAACCGUCAAGGUCUCUAUAAGUCAUAAUCAUAAUGACAGCUAACAUUUACUUAGUGGUUGCCAGGGCUUUUUCUAAGUGCUUUAUGUUCAAUCUCACAUGAUUCUCACAAUGCCCCUAAGAGAUAGGUGCUAAUAACCUCCCUCCCUUUUUGUAGGUGAGGAAACUGAGACACAAGGGAAGUUGCCCAAAGUCACACAAAGAGGGGGCAGAGCUCAGAACCCACACACUCAACCAUUCAGCUCUCUUUCUGCUCUGAUAGGAAUUGUACUCUUAGUGGCCUCAGAUAGAUGGGUAACCACAUUUCAUCACUUCUUCUUUAAAGCUGCCCCAGCUUUUUCCUACGCUAGAUAAAAAAUAGUGUGUGUUUUUAACUAUCUCAUCGCAUUGCUUAGGACAUAGUAGGUGAGCAAUAAAUAUUUUCUGACCUGAUUUUUUUUGUUAUUAAAAUCAUUGUAUGAGAAAGACGGAAACAAUCAAGAAUAAACUAAGAAGUAGGAAAUAAACAAGGAGGCAUAACUGGGGGAAAUGAUCUGACUCAGACCUCCUAAUAUGAACUGUCUUAUAGGAGAAUACUCCAAAGAUAAAACCCAAUAUGAGUCCACACAGUUCUUAUCUCCAUGAAACAACUG
This 5072-nucleotide long non-coding RNA is filed under the name Sus scrofa (pig). Its description in RNAcentral is "lncRNA (ENSSSCG00000053788.1)". Lineage: Eukaryota; Metazoa; Chordata; Mammalia; Artiodactyla; Suidae. The record is from RNAcentral.